UGUGGAAGAAGGCCUUCGGGUUGGAAAGCCCUUUUGUUGGGAAAGAAAUCCAGCUGGUUAAUACCCGGUUGGGAUGACGGUACCCAAAGAAUAAGCACCGGCUAACUUCGUGCCAGCAGCCGCGGUAAUACGAAGGGUGCAAGCGUUACUCGGAAUUACUGGGCGUAAAGCGUGCGUAGGUGGUUGUUUAAGUCUGUUGUGAAAGCCCUGGGCUCAACCUGGGAACUGCAGUGGAAACUGGACGACUAGAGUGUGGUAGAGGGUAGCGGAAUUCCUGGUGUAGCAGUGAAAUGCGUAGAGAUCAGGAGGAACAUCCAUGGCGAAGGCAGCUACCUGGACCAACACUGACACUGAGGCACGAAAGCGUGGGGAGCAAACAGGAUUAGAUACCCUGGUAGUCCACGCCCUAAACGAUGCGAACUGGAUGUUGGGUGCAAUUUGGCACGCAGUAUCGAAGCUAACGCGUUAAGUUCGCCGCCUGGGGAGUACGGUCGCAAGACUGAAACUCAAAGGAAUUGACGGA
RNAcentral lists this ribosomal RNA (523 nucleotides) under uncultured Stenotrophomonas sp. Its description in RNAcentral is "bacterial SSU rRNA". It matches the Rfam family "Bacterial small subunit ribosomal RNA", at positions 400 to 917 of the family's 1533-position model. Lineage: Bacteria; Pseudomonadati; Pseudomonadota; Gammaproteobacteria; Lysobacterales; Lysobacteraceae. The record is from RNAcentral.